Molecule: long non-coding RNA, 924 nt
Filed under: Helianthus annuus (common sunflower)
Lineage: Eukaryota; Viridiplantae; Streptophyta; Magnoliopsida; Asterales; Asteraceae
Description: sRNA HanXRQr2_Chr12g0553111
Source: RNAcentral
UGAAUGAAACUCUUGCCAAGAUCUCGAAUACAUCCAUGUGGUGUUAAGCCUCGUGAAUGAAAAGAUGAAAAAGUAGGAAUAGAAUUGGUCCAGUUGAAAUGAGAAAGGUUUCGGGGACGAAACCUCUUUUAAGGGGGGUAGAUUUGUAACGCCCAAAAAAUGAAAACUCAAUAAAACAAGUGAGGAUAAAUAACAAACUUAACAUAAUUAAGGAUUUAUGGCAAGAUGGUAGUGAAAUGUAGUUUAAAGAUUAGAUUUGUAAUUAGCAACUAAGUGAAGGGGGUAAAGUGCAAAGUGGUUAAACUUAAAUUAGUUAAAAAAAAAAACAAACUAACCCCCAAACACAGUGAGUGUGUCUGGGGGAACGAUCGAACAAGGAAGGAGGAGGGGGAAACCCUAAACUCAAGAAAUCAAGCAAUUGAAGCCUAAAAUCAUAAGAAAAUCCAGUGCAUGAGCCAUCUUAUCGAUCAUCUAAGCAUACCUAGUGAAGUGCUUGAAAGAAUAAGAACCAUGCCAAGAUGGACCAACUCAUGGGAAGCAAACGGGUCAAAGAGGAGGCAAAGAAACUAGCAUAAACAUGACGAGCACGAGGUUAUGAAUGUCGGACUUUCAAAGUGUUGAUAUAAUAAUGAAACGGUUGAAUCUUGAAAGGAUAAUCGGAUUGAAGUAACUUAUGCGGUAAAUCCUCAAUUCAGGCGACUUGGAGAAUCGGAGCGAGCGCGUGUUCAUGUUAUGUCAUACUAAACGCUUCCGCUAGCUUGUUCAAAUGUUUUUAGUCCAAAAUUUGUUGUAUUGGUUCUUAGUAGUAUUUUGUCGAAUGAAUCGUAGAAUUGUAUCUAGUUUGAUUAUGUUUAAAACAGGGGAAUGCUCGUUUUAUGGACGGGUCAUGCCCAAUUUUUGUUAAAUUAAUGCACCUGCGUUAUU